Echinops telfairi (small Madagascar hedgehog) is the source of this 120-nucleotide small nucleolar RNA. RefSeq annotates it as small nucleolar RNA SNORA61. Lineage: Eukaryota; Metazoa; Chordata; Mammalia; Afrosoricida; Tenrecidae. The transcript has a single exon. The record is from RefSeq and is a predicted model, not a curated record.
AUCCUCCAGAUUCCUUCCCCAUCAGACCUAAAACCUGGUCUGGGGGGCUAUAGAAGGAAGAAAAGUAAAACUGAAACGACUUAAAUUCUUUUGUGACACACAAGCCAGUUUCAAACAAAC